CCGGCGACCGGCGGACGGGUGCGUAACGCGUAUGUAACCUACCUUUGACAGGGGGAUAACAUCGAGAAAUUGGUACUAAUACCCCAUAACAUCACCGGAGGCAUCUUCGGUGAUUGAAAACUCAGGUGGUCAGAGAUGGACAUGCGUUGUAUUAGCUAGUUGGUGAGGUAACGGCUCACCAAGGCGACGAUACAUAGGGGGACUGAGAGGUCAACCCCCCACAUUGGUACUGAGACACGGACCAAACUCCUACGGGAGGCAGCAG
Molecule: ribosomal RNA, 265 nt
Filed under: uncultured bacterium
Lineage: Bacteria
Description: partial 16S ribosomal RNA
Rfam family: Bacterial small subunit ribosomal RNA
Source: RNAcentral